AGCCAUAUAUAUUAACUUAAUCAAUUAGGAGUUGGAGGCAAACUUGUUAAUCAAAGCAAGUGCGUUGCUAGUCACCUGAGCAACAUUUACAAUUCUUGCUUUAAUCGAAGACUUCAACUUCCCAUUCAAGGCCUUACCAGCAAACCCAUCAACACAAGUGUUCUCAUCUGUCAAAGCAGCGCUAACCCAAGUCUCCACAUUGCUCAUGUGCCAUUGGAAGUCCUUAUCGUCCUUGUUCUGACCCAUGUUCUUGAACUCUUUAAGCGACUUGCUAAGCCUAUCCGCAGUGUCACCAACCUCCACUAAACAGUCCUUAAUGGCU
Molecule: unclassified non-coding RNA, 322 nt
Filed under: Hevea brasiliensis (rubber tree)
Lineage: Eukaryota; Viridiplantae; Streptophyta; Magnoliopsida; Malpighiales; Euphorbiaceae
Source: RNAcentral